Molecule: long non-coding RNA, 800 nt
Organism: Sardina pilchardus (European sardine)
Lineage: Eukaryota; Metazoa; Chordata; Actinopteri; Clupeiformes; Clupeidae
Exons: 3
Source: RefSeq, a predicted model, not a curated record
CAGCGCGUAGCUCACUGCAGCGCUGUAGCCAGGGUAGCUCCCCACCUGCGCCUUUGGGUCAUGGGUCGCCAUGAGAGCGACAGCCAUUAGCGGGGCCUGGUGUUGUUGCCUUCCUGGUGCCCCCCCCCCCUUCUCCAAGGUGUACAGCGUCGCCUCAUUUUAGGUUAAUCGUCGGGGCGACGAUUCAAAAGCCUUGGGAAGAAUGUAGCAGGACUAGGUCCACGCCCCUUAGACAGCUCGGCAAUGCCCUUCUGAGUGGCUCUGGGAAAUUGGAGGUGAGCCAAUCAGCACGUGGGAGCGGCUAUAAGGUUUUAGCUUUUACGUUGAAGGCUAGCGUCGUAGCUACAUUGUUUGCUUGACUCCAGCCUUCACCGCUCCCCGUAUUGGCUUCGCCUCUGGCCGGUUCCGUGUGUCCGCCGACUUCUCGGAGUGCAGCUAGUCACUGAACAUGGGCCUUAUGACUGACCACAGCAGAGCGCAGAUCUCGGGCGUAACAGGGAGCGGCAACAUCAAGGCACCUUGGUUCCGGUUCGAACGCUGCUGUUUUGUUUAGUUCUGUUUUGUGUUUGUGUUUGUUUCAUUCCGUUUGUGAGUCGGCUGUGUUUAGCCACCACGAAGUCAGCCCUCAUUGAUUAACUGAAGUGACGACAGGUGUGCUGCUGUUUGCUCACGAGUGACUACGAAUUCAGUUCGGUUAUGGAGGCUAAUUCCUUAGCUUGUUGCACUGCGUGUCAUGAUUUGUCACCAUAAGCCUGCGUGAGUGAUUGUGAUGAUUACACUGUUUGCUGUGACAACUGAGU